This 1082-nucleotide long non-coding RNA is filed under the name Homo sapiens (human). RNAcentral's name for it is "long intergenic non-protein coding RNA 2020". The record is from RNAcentral. Lineage: Eukaryota; Metazoa; Chordata; Mammalia; Primates; Hominidae.
GUAUAUGUGGUCUGCCAUUGGCUGAAGCAUCAUUAUUUGGUGCAUGACUGUAGAACUUUAAGCAAUGAUGAAAAUGCUCUAUAUCCACACUAUCCAAUAUGAUACCACCCACAUAAACAAAAACUUUUUGGGAGUCCUCCAGAAUUUUUAAGAGUUAUCUAAACUAUUGCCUUUAAUGACCAGGAACUCCAAUUUGAGAAGUUACCCUACGUUAAGCCAACAGCAGCCUGGCUCCUUCAUCCUGUGCAGUAUGGGACAGAGCUGGGUCCUUGUUGUCAUCAGCCAGACAAGCACACAUUAAAGCCCACCUUAGCCAUUGGCAUUACAGCUUUAAAAGCAGCUCCAUCCUACCAUGCUGUCACUCUACUCAAUCACGUGAUCUUAACGACCAGCUCUACAUAUCCUCUCUCCAUGCCCCCACCACCAUCCCCCACCAACAAAUCCGGUAAUCUAUCUCUGUCAAUAGUCCUGCAGUGAAUUCCGAAUAAGUUUUUCUCUUCCCUGGCCUGCCGUUUACGUAGUACCCUGGAUGAAUCUAUACUUACUCCAUAGUAAGUAGUACCUUGGAUGAAUCUAUACUUGCAUCCAAUGGAAAUGAGAGUGAUGGUGCAGAGUUAUCCGAAGUAACUCCAGCUAUGUUGUGGAUCUUCUAAUCAUGGGCUCAUCUAAGCCUUCCCAGAUAUCACUCUAGUUUUUACAAUCUUUGUUUAUGACAAUUAGGGCUGUAACAUUGGCUGUAGACAUUUGUUGCAUCAAGGAACUCAGCUUCCACUGAAGUUCUGAAGUUAAUCAGUUUCUGAUCUUGUUCUGCAACUCUCUGCAAGAAGAAAAAUCACCAGGAAAUAGUGCAUCCUGAAAGGAGUCAAAGUUUCCUUAUCCAGCUGGAGCAGUGUGAUCUCGGACCAGAGUCAAUUCCUUGCCCAACAGACUUCACAUUGAGCCAUGAGAAGCAGCCUACUUACCCUUACCUGGACACUUCUCCAAAACCUGUGAAAUGGCCUCUGUCACUGCCUCAAAGCCUCAUCCUUGGUGGGCAACUCACCUGGAUCCUGAGACCAAAAUAUAGAGCUUAAUGAACUGCU